Transfer RNA from Brevundimonas sp. Root1423, 71 nucleotides. It matches the Rfam family "tRNA". From Rfam's summary of the family: Transfer RNA (tRNA) molecules are approximately 80 nucleotides in length. Their secondary structure includes four short double-helical elements and three loops (D, anti-codon, and T loops). The record is from Rfam. NCBI's taxonomy places the organism in Bacteria, Pseudomonadati, Pseudomonadota, Alphaproteobacteria, Caulobacterales, Caulobacteraceae.
GCGGGUAUAGUACAAUGGUAGUACAGCAGCCUUCCAAGCUGAAUAUGUCGGUUCGAUUCCGUCUACCCGCU